GUGCCAGCAGCCGCGGUAAUACGUAGGGUGCAAGCGUUAAUCGGAAUUACUGGGCGUAAAGCGUGCGCAGGCGGUUCGCUAAGACAGAUGUGAAAUCCCCGGGCUUAACCUGGGAACUGCAUUUGUGACUGGCGGGCUAGAGUAUGGCAGAGGGGGGUAGAAUUCCACGUGUAGCAGUGAAAUGCGUAGAGAUGUGGAGGAAUACCGAUGGCGAAGGCAGCCCCCCUGGGCCAAUACUGACGCUCAUGCACGAAAGCGUGGGGAGCAAACAGGAUUAGAUACCCUGGUAGUCC
Molecule: ribosomal RNA, 293 nt
Filed under: uncultured microorganism
Description: partial 16S ribosomal RNA
Rfam family: Bacterial small subunit ribosomal RNA
Source: RNAcentral